CGUCAGGUUGCUCAAUUGGUGAGAGCGUCAGGCUAAUAUCCUGGAGAUUGUAGGUUCAAUCCCUACCCCGGCGA
This is a non-coding RNA of Ramularia collo-cygni, 74 nucleotides long. The record is from the annotation of a RefSeq genome assembly. NCBI's taxonomy places the organism in Eukaryota, Fungi, Ascomycota, Dothideomycetes, Mycosphaerellales, Mycosphaerellaceae.